AACGAACGCUGGCGGCAUGCCUAACACAUGCAAGUCGAACGAGACCUUCGGGUCUAGUGGCGCACGGGUGCGUAACGCGUGGGAACCUGCCUUUAGGUUCGGAAUAACUCAGAGAAAUUUGAGCUAAUACCGGAUAAUGUCUUCGGACCAAAGAUUUAUCGCCUUUAGAUGGGCCCGCGUAAGAUUAGCUAGUUGGUGGGGUAAAGGCCUACCAAGGCGACGAUCUUUAGCUGGUCUGAGAGGAUGAUCAGCCACACUGGGACUGAGACACGGCCCAGACUCCUACGGGAGGCAGCAGUGGGGAAUAUUGGACAAUGGGCGAAAGCCUGAUCCAGCAAUGCCGCGUGAGUGAUGAAGGCCUUAGGGUUGUAAAGCUCUUUUACCCGUAGAUGAUAAUGACAGUAUCGGGAGAAUAAGCUCCGGCUAACUCCGUGCCAGCAGCCGCGU
Molecule: ribosomal RNA, 447 nt
Filed under: uncultured bacterium
Lineage: Bacteria
Description: bacterial SSU rRNA
Rfam family: Bacterial small subunit ribosomal RNA
Source: RNAcentral